UUYUUUUAGUUAAAAUUAAAGGUAAAUUCUGCCCUAUGAUUGAUUAAGUUAAAUGGCUGCAGUAUUUUGACUGUGCAAAGGUAGCAUAAUAAUUAGUCAUUUAAUUGUUGACUUGCAUGAAUGGAUACAUGAAAGAUUUAUUUUUUUUAUUUUAUUAUUAAAAUUUUAUUUUUUGGUAAAAAAGCUUAAAUUAAUUUUUAGGGACGAUAAGACCCUAUAGAACUUUAUUAUAUAUUUAAUAUUAAGUUUUUUUGGAUAUUAAUAUUUUAUUUAUAUUAUUUAUAUUUUUUUGUUGGGGUGACAAAUAAAUAUUAACUUUAUUUUUUUAAAUCAUUAAUUUAUGAUUAAUAUGAUCCAUACUUAUAGAUUAAAAGAUUAAGUUACCUUAGGGAUAACAGCGUAAUUUUAAUGGGGAGUUCAUAUUUAUAUUAAAGUUUGCGACCUCGAUGUUGAAUUAAGAUAAGAUUGAGGGGCAGGUUUUUCAUUUCUGAGUCUGUUCGACUUUUAAAUUCUU
This 514-nucleotide ribosomal RNA is filed under the name Atkinsoniella trimaculata. RNAcentral's name for it is "partial 16S ribosomal RNA". The stretch from base 391 to 514 matches the Rfam family "Bacterial large subunit ribosomal RNA", at positions 2473 to 2597 of the family's 2925-position model. The record is from RNAcentral. Lineage: Eukaryota; Metazoa; Arthropoda; Insecta; Hemiptera; Cicadellidae.